RNAcentral lists this ribosomal RNA (253 nucleotides) under uncultured bacterium. Its description in RNAcentral is "partial 16S ribosomal RNA". It matches the Rfam family "Bacterial small subunit ribosomal RNA", at positions 524 to 776 of the family's 1533-position model. The record is from RNAcentral.
UACAGAGGUCUCAAGCGUUGUUCGGAUUCAUUGGGCGUAAAGGGUGCGUAGGCGGCGGGGCAAGUCGGAUGUGAAAUCUCAGGGCUCAACCCUGAAACUGCAUUCGAUACUGCCUUGCUCGAGGACUGGAGAGGAGAUUGGAAUUCACGGUGUAGCAGUGAAAUGCGUAGAUAUCGUGAGGAAGACCAGUGGCGAAGGCGGAUCUCUGGACAGUUCCUGACGCUGAGGCACGAAAGCUAGGGUAGCGAACGGG